UAUUCCCUCUGGCGGCGUGCUUAACACAUGCAAGUCGAACGGACAGGCCCUGCGCUUGCGGCGUUCUCGUUUGGCGAACGGGUGAGUAACACGUGAGGAACCUGCACUUGUCUUUGGGAUAACUUCACGGAACUGCGGCUAAUACCGGGUAUGAGCUCCUGCUGCACGGGGGUCAAUGGAAAAUUGCGGCGGUUGGGGAUGGUCUGGCGGCUUAUCAGCUGCUUGGUGGGGUAGUUGCUUACCAGGGGUAUGACGGGUAGCCGGCCUGGGCGCGUGAACGGCCACAUGGGGACUGAGAUAGGGCCCAGACUGCUACGGGCGGCAGCAGUGGGGAAUAUUGCACAAUGGGGGGACGUGUGAUGUAGCAACGCCGCGUGCGGGAUGACCGCCUACGGGUGGUGAACCGCUUUCUACUGUGACGAGGCGUGAGUGACGGUAAUGGGUAAGGAAGCCACGGCUAACUACGUG
RNAcentral lists this ribosomal RNA (468 nucleotides) under uncultured bacterium. RNAcentral's name for it is "partial 16S ribosomal RNA". It matches the Rfam family "Bacterial small subunit ribosomal RNA", at positions 36 to 507 of the family's 1533-position model. The record is from RNAcentral.